AAAGGCAGCACACCACACUAAAUGAAGCCGCAGCUUCGAAUGGCCAGGGAGGAUUUCAUGGAUAUAGUGACUAUUGUGGAUUUAAAUGACUGGUUGUCUUUAAAAUGCAUUUUCAGCAUGAAAUUUGUUUUUGUGACAUGUAAUAUGAUCAUUGGCAAAUUCGAAAACAUGGUUAGAAAUCACAUGCUGAUAAUUAUUGAUGUCAAGGUCGCCAUUGUUUGUAAACAUUGCUUUUAAACAGCAUGCUCGGUGAAAAAAAGUAGUUUUACAGGGGGGUACAAACUUUCAGCAAUAACAAAAAAUCUACAAGGCCAAGCACCUAUUUCUUUGUGAUAUUUUGCAUGCACAGGGAGUUGCUAAAGCAGUGACAGAGUUUUUGUAGACCGUAUAUUUGCAGGUUGUGUAGUUUGGGAUCAGAUUUAUCAGACAUAUUGCUUGUAGGACAUUGACGGCAGAAACUUGAAAUUUAGUGUGGAGUGCUACCAAA
This is a long non-coding RNA of Ruditapes philippinarum (Manila clam), 487 nucleotides long. RefSeq lists it as uncharacterized. The transcript has 2 exons. NCBI's taxonomy places the organism in Eukaryota, Metazoa, Mollusca, Bivalvia, Venerida, Veneridae. The record is from RefSeq and is a predicted model, not a curated record.